Molecule: unclassified non-coding RNA, 312 nt
Filed under: Hevea brasiliensis (rubber tree)
Lineage: Eukaryota; Viridiplantae; Streptophyta; Magnoliopsida; Malpighiales; Euphorbiaceae
Source: RNAcentral
GGCGGAGGCGAGGGAGUUCAGAGAGCUUAUGGAGGAGAUUUCUCGCCAUGGAGGAGCUUCUCAAUGGAUCGAUUUCAUGCCGAUUUUGAAAUGGAUUGGAUUUGACGGAUAUGAGAAGAGUUUGGCCAAAUUGACGAAAAGGGCCGAUCGAUUUAUGCAGGAAUUGGUUGAAGAGCGGCGGAAUAAGAAAGUGUUGGCAAAAGAAGAACAGAGUUCUCUGCUUCAUCGGCUUCUUGAAUUGCAGCUCUCUGAACCCGAAUACUACACCGAUCAGAUCAUCAAAGGGAUCGUUCUGGUUCUAUUGCGUGCAGG